Molecule: ribosomal RNA, 468 nt
Filed under: uncultured bacterium
Lineage: Bacteria
Description: partial 16S ribosomal RNA
Rfam family: Bacterial small subunit ribosomal RNA
Source: RNAcentral
GACGAACGCUGGCGGCGUGCUUAACACAUGCAAGUCGAACGGAAAGGCCCUGCUUUUGUGGGGUGCUCGAGUGGCGAACGGGUGAGUAACACGUGAGUAACCUGCCCUUGACUUUGGGAUAACUUCAGGAAACUGGGGCUAAUACCGGAUAGGAGCUCCUGCUGCAUGGUGGGGGUUGGAAAGUUUCGGCGGGUGGGGAUGGACUCGCGGCUUAUCAGCUUGUUGGUGGGGUAGUGGCUUACCAAGGCUUUGCCGGGUAGCCGGCCUGAGAGGGUGGCCGGACACAUUGGGACUGAGAUAAGGCCCAGCCUCCUCCGGGAGGCAGCAGUGGGGAAUAUUGCACAAUGGGCGGAGGCCUGAUGCAGUAACGCCGCGUGCGGGAUGACGGGCUUCGGGUUGUAAACCGCUUUCGCCUGUGACGAAGCGUGAGUGACGGUAAUGAGUAAAGAAGCACCGGCUAACUACGUG